UUCAAGCCAAAGAACAAAGGGGGAAAGAAUAGAAAACCCCUAAGGAGGAAAAAUUCAAGAGAAAUUCAUUGGAUUUUCGAAAAAUGAAGCGAUCGGAGGUAAGAUUUCGCAAUUUACCUUAAGAUCUACCUUACCCAUGCUUUCUUUUUCAUUUUCUAUGGUUGAAACUCAAGUUUUCAUGAUGGAAGCAUGCUGGCCGAAUCAAGGGGGGAAGGUUUUGAUGAUGGUUUUUGAUAGAUUUUAGGCUAUCUAGGUGUUUUUAGUGUUUUGUGAUAUUCGGUAUGAAAAACAAGCAAGAAAAUAACAUGUUCUUCAUCAAACCCUAAUUGGUCGAAUUCUAUAGGGAAUAUUUUAAAGAUGAAUUCUGUCAUAUUUCAUGUUAUCUAGCUCGUAUUUGAUGAUUCGUGAUGUCAGAUAUCGAAAACGGUUAUCGAAAAAUAUAGUUCCUUUAGUAAACGACUUGAACGAUAAUGAGAAAAUUAUAGUAAAUGGACUUAGAAUUGAUUUCUAAAGAGGUAUAUGGACUUAUUGGAGUACCAAAAGUGCUAUGAAUCUAUUGGGAGUUGAAUUGGAUGUUUUGGCUUAUUAAACAAUGUAUAGUGCGAGUUAGGUCGAAUACCAUUUCAGUCCAACAAUAAUUGAACCAACGUAGAACACCAUCUUUAAGUGAUUAUUCGAACACUUCUCAUUCAAUUUCAUACAUUCAUAAAGAGCCUAAAAUAGUUUUGUAACAAUUUGGCACAAAUAUAUUGAAUUACUUGUUAUGUAUUAUGUAUAGAUGGUGAGCUCUCUGGUAAGGGUAAGGAUAUCAUACCCGAGGACCAGGAGUAGGAGUACUCCCGUUAUAGUGAGUAACAGACUUUCAUCUUAAGUAUCUAAAGUUGUUUCUACUCGUUUUUAUGUUUUAAAGAAUAAUCAGUUUAAAUUGUAAAUUAUUAUGUUUUAAAAUUAAAGUGUUAGUUAAACAAAAUGAGAUUUAUAACUUGCUUUGAAAUCGAAUACUGGUUUUGAAAAUUGAGUAAGUGGAGACUAUAUGCUUGUGCUAUAUAUAUGUUUUGACAUAUGGUUUGAAUUGAUGACUUAUGACAAUGUGAUGGCAUGAAUGGCUGGAUUUGCGUUUGUGUGGAAUAUAUGAAUUGUUUUGUUUUACCUUGACAAGUUGAGUGAUAUCAUAUUAUCCAUGUCAUGCUGUUGAAUUUUUAUUGAUUUGGUGGGGUAAGUGAUUAGCUUACUGCAGUGGACGGGUUUUCGUGGACCAGCCAAUUAGAGGGGCACGGUAAACCCUGUUAUAUUUUACCUUAGUACAAAAGGCGCGAAGGGUUUCUCCUAAGGUAGUUUAGAGUUCACUUCGCGCCGAACCACCACGUAAUGGUGAAACUCAACCAACGCCAAGGAACGGCUACGUUUUUAAACGUAAAAACAUGUUUUAUGUGUAUAUGUUAAUUUAACAGCCUUGACAGACUCAGUUGGAUGCCCGGCUCAAGGUGUCACCGAGUACGAGUUUUGGCACGAGCCAAGUUUUAAGAGUCAUAAGCCUUACUGAUUUUUUUUUAUGAAAUGUAAUUGUUUUAUACGGUUGAAAUGAGUUUUAAUGUUAUGAAUCAUAUUAUGAAGAGAUGUUUUAAUUCUCUCCAUUUACUCGGUUUUAGAUGUUAUAGAUGAACUUUGCUUACUCCCUAGGUUUAUAAAAACUCACCCCCUUCUUUUCACCCAUUUCAAGUUCAGAGCAGUCUGUAGACAGUCGAUUUUAUCGAGGGUUUGCUUUUGGAUUUGCACCCUUAGAAAUCGUAGAUCUACAGUCCUAUUUAUUUUUGUUAUUUUAGGGCUCACAUGUCAUUGUAGAAUAUUUUUGUAUACCUUGGCGCAUUGUGCUAUUAUAUAUAUGAAUUUAUUUUGUUAUUACACUACAGUAAUUAUUGACGUAGAAUUUUAUAAAUAUUAUUUUAUAUGAAAAUGGAAUAUUUUAUCCAAUAUUUUUAUUUAGUUCUAUUAGAUAAAAAUUCACUUUAAAUGGAUGUUUUAGAUACUUAAAUUUAUUUUUAGAUAUGAAAUGUAUACUUUUCAUUUAUAUAUUAUAUUUUUAGCAGGUUUCAAAAUUUUUGGGUAAAAAUGAUCAAAAUACUCCUGUGCGGUAAAAAUUACUUUUUGAUUGUCUUUGAUUUGAAAAUAGUCUAUAUUCUUUUAAAACAUGAUAUUUAGUAACUGUUGCUCACAAGGGAGGUGGAAAAUUGAUGCUAGAGCCUUGCGAGGUUUCGAUUGACAUUUCGGAUAAGAUAUGUCUAUCAGGACAUCGUGACGGUUGUCACGGGUUCGAAGAGAGUACCGGGUCGUGACAAUUCUAUUGGUAUCAAAGCCAUUGAUUUUAAAGUUAUUUUAAAAACUACAAUGUUAUUGUGGCCCCAAGUUAAGUUAGAUUGAGUUGAAUGCAUGCAUCUGCAUAUAGGACCUGAAGUUGUCUAAAUUCGUUAUGUUUCUUCUUAUAGAUCAUAUGUGAGCACGACAUUCGCAUCAUUUUCUAAUAGAAACCUGUCACCUUUAGAGGAGGAAAUUGUAGUUCAUACCCCUCUAGGAGAGUAGUUGGUUAGAAACACCUAUUAUAGAGACUGUGAAAUAAGAGUUGGUGAGGAAGAAUUCAGGGCUGACUUAAUUCUCCUAGAAAUCUGAGAUUUUGAUUUGAUAUUGGGUAUGGAUUAGUUGACUACACAUCGGGCGAAUGUGAAUUGUUUCAGGAAGGAAGUUGUACUUCAGAAUUCUAAGGGAGUAGAGGUUAUAUUUGCAGGGGAACGUCGAGUAUUACCAUCCUAUGUAAUCUCGACUAUCAAAGCUUUGAAACUAGUGCAGAAAGGACAUCCGGCUUAUCUAGCACAUGUGAUUGAUACCUUAAAAGGGGAACCUAAGUUAGAGGAUGUCCCAAUAGUAAAUGAGUUCUCUGAUGUGUUUCUGGGUGAAUUACCAAGACUACCUCUUCAUCGAGAGCUUGAGUUAUCUAUUGAUCUAUUUUCGGGUACCGCACCUAUUUUUAUUCUUCCAUAUCGGAUGGCUCCUAUGGAAUUAAAGGAGUUGAAAGUCCAGCUGCAAGACUUGGUAGAUAAAGGUUUUAUUCGCCCUAGUACUUCUCCUUGGGGUGCGCCAGUCCUAUUUGUAAAGAAAAAGGAUGACACUCUUCGGCUAUGUAUUGACUACCGUCAAUUGAGCCGAGUGACCAUUAAGAAUAAAUAUCCUCUACCACAGAUUAAAUAUCCUUUUGAUUAGCUACAGGGUGCUAUGAUGUUUUCUAAGAUUGAUUUGAGGUCUAGGUAUCAUCAGUUGAAGAUCAAGGAACAAGAUGUACCCAAGACUGCUUUCAGAACUCGUUAUGGGCAUUACGAGUUUCUGGUUAUGCCUUUUGGUCUGACUAAUGCCCCGAUAGUUUUUAUGGACCUCAUGAACAGGGUGUUCCAUUCGCACUUGGAUAAGUUCGUGAUAGUGUUUAUAGACGACAUCCUAGUGUAUUCGAAGGAUGAUGAUGAACAUGCUGUCCAUUUGCGCAUUAUGCUGCAAACCUUAUGCAAGAGACAAUUCUAUGCCAAGUUUUCCAAAUGUGAGUUCUGGUUGAAGGAAGUAGUUUUCUUGGGACAUGUGGUGUUUGGAGCUAGAAUUUAUGUCGAUCCCAAGAAGAUUGAGGUAAUCUUACAGUGGGAGCAACUGAAAAUGGUGACAGAGAUUCAGAGUUUCCUCGGUUUAGUCAGUUAUUAUAAGAGGUUCGUUCAGGGGUUCUCAUUGAUAGUUGCUCUUUUGACUCGUCUGACUCAUAAAGGAAUCAAGUUUGAAUGGGAUGAUGUUUGCGAGAGUCAGUUUCAGGAGCUAAAGAACCAGUUGACCUCCACUCUAAUUUUGACACUUCCUGUUAGUGGGAAAGAAUUUGUGGUAUAUAGUGAUGCCUCUAAAUUGGGAUUAGGGUGCGUGUUAAUACAGGAUGAGAAAGUAGUAGUUUAUGCUUCUCGACAGUUAACGAAACAUGAGAUGAAUUACCCUACCCACGAUUUGGAGUUUGCAGCAAUAGUCUUUGCAUUGAAGAUCUGGAGGCAUUACUUAUAUGGUGAGCGUUGUCGGAUCUUUACCGACCACAAAAGCUUGAAAUACUUGCUCACCCAGAAAGAACUCAACCUGAGACAAAGACGCUUGUUAGAGUUGAUUAAGGAUUACGACUUAGUGAUUGAUUAUCAUCCGAGGAAGGCAAACGUUGUAGCAGAUGCCUUGAGUCGUAAAUCCUCAUCUUCAUUAGCAUCAUUUCGAAAGUCUUAUCUUCCGAUGCUACUUGAGAUGAAAUCUCUAGGGAUCCAGUUGAGUAAUGGCGAGAAUGGAACCUUACUUGCUAGUUUUGUUGUGAGACCCUCACUAUUGAAUCAAAUCAGAGAAUUGCAGAAGUCUGAUGAUGAGUUGAGGCGGGAAGUUCAAAAGUUGCAAGAUGGAGAAACUAGUGAGCUCAGACUCGGUGAUGAUGGUAUUUUGAUGCUUGGGAAUCGGGUUUUUGUCCUUAAGGAUGAUCAGCUGAGACAGGCUAUUUUGGAGGAAGCUCAUUCUUUCGCUUAUGCUUUACAUCCCGGAAGCACAAAAAUGUAUAGGACUAUCAAGGAAAGUUACUGGUGGCCGGGUAUGAAACGAGACAUAGCAGAGUUUGUGACGAAAUGUCUCACAUGCCAGCAAAUCAAGGUGGAACAUCAGAAACCAUCGAGUACUCUUCAGCCUCUACCUAUCCCUAAAUGGAAGUGGGAGCACGUGACUAUGGACUUUGCAUUGGGUUUACUGCGGACGCAGAGUGGGAAAAAUGCUAUUUGGGUGAUUGUGGAUAGAUUGACUAAGUCCGCCCAUUUCUUGGCUAUCCAUAACACGUAUUCCAUUGAGAAACUAGCUAAGCUUUAUAUUGAUGAGAUAGUGAGAUUGACAUGACUCAGUACUCCCAUCGAGUCCAUGACAACCAUCGCAAUGUCUCGAUUGACAUUCAUUACCCAGAAUGCCAAUCGAAACCUCGCAAGGCUUUCGCAUCAGUUUUACUUCUCCCAUGUGAGCAACAAUUAUUAAAUACCAUGUUUUAAAGAAAUAUAGACUAAUUUCAAAUCAAAAACAAUCAAAAAGUAAUUUCUACUACACAGGGGUAUUUUGGUCAUUUUACCCAAAAUUUUCGAACCCUGGUAAAAAUAUGGUACACGAGUAAUAAGCAUCCAUUUCAUGUCUAAAAAUAAGUUUCAUUGUCUAAUUCAUCAAUUUAAAGUGAAAUUAUAGCUAUUCAAAUUAAAUAAAAAUAUUAAAUAAAAUAUUCCAUUUUCUUAUAAAAUAAUAUAUAUAGAACUCUACGUAAAUAAUUUUUGUAGCGUAAAAGUAAAAUAAAUUCAUACAUACAGUGGCACACGCAGCCAGGUAUACAAAACAUUCUACAAUGACAUGUGGGCCUCCUAAAUAACCGAAAUAUACAAGACUGUAGACCUUCAAUUUCUAAAGAUGCAAUCUAAAAGCAACCCUCGACAAAAUCGACUGUCUACAGACUGUCCUAAGCCUGAAAUGGAUAAAAAGAAGAGGUGAGUUUUUAUAAACCCAGUGAGUAAGCAAAUUUCAUCUAUAACAUCUAAAGCAGAGUAAAUGGAGACAAUUUAAAACAUCUCAGUAUAAUAUGAUUCAUAAUAUCAAAUUUCAUUUCAAUCCGUAUAAAUCAAUUACAUUUCAUCAAAAAUAAUUAACAAGGCUUAUGACUCUCUUAAAAACUUGGCUCAUGCCUAAAACUCGUACUCGGUGACACCUUGGCCCGGGGCAUCCAACCGAGUCUGCCAAGGCUGUUAAAAUAACAUAUGCACAUAAAACAAGUUUUUACGUUCAAAACACAGCCGUUCCUUGGCGUUGAAUGAGUUUCACCUUCACGUGGUGGUUCGGUGUGAAGUGAACUCUAAUGUUACCUUAGGAGAUACCCUCCGUGCCUCUCGUACCAAGGUAAAAUAUAACCGGGUUUACCGUGCCCCUCUAAUAGGUUGGUCCACGAAAACCCGCCCACUGUAGUAAGCUAAUCAAAUAACCCACCAAUUCAAUAAAUUUUUCGACAGCAUGACAUGGCUAAUAUAAUAUUACCAGCUUGUCAAGGCAAAGCAAAAUAGUUCAUAUAUUCCACACAAACACAAAUCCAGCCAUGCUUGCCAUCACAUUGUCAUAAGCCAUCAAUUCAAACCAUAUGUCAAAACAUAUAUAUAACACAAGUAUACAGUCUCCACUUACUCAAUUUCCAAAACUAAUAUUCAAUAUCAAAUCAAGUUAUAAAUCUCAUUUCGUUUAAUCAACACUUCAAUUAUAAAACAUAAUAGUUUGCAAUUUAAAUUCAUUUUUCUUUAAAACAUAAAAACGAGUAUAAACUACUUUAGAUAGUUAAGAUGAAAGUCUGAUUACUCACAAUAACGGGAGUAUGAAGUACUCCUAUUCUUGAUCCUCGGGUACGAUAUCCUUACCCUUACUAGAGGGCUCACCACCUAUACAUAAUACACGACACGUAAUUCAAUAUAUUUGUACCAAACUGUCAUAAAACUAUUUCAGGCUCUAUAUGAAUCCAUGAAAUUGAAUGAGAAAUGUUCGGAUAGUCACUUAAAGAUGGUGUUCUACGUAGGUUCAAUUGUGAUCGGAAUGAAUUUGUAUUUGACCUACUUCGAACUAUACACCAUUGAUUUAACCAAAACAUUCGAUUCAACUCCAAAUAUAUUCGUUACACUCCCAAUAAUCUGAUACACCAAAGCAUUACAAUGAACUUGAUUUUUUACUAACUUCACCAUUUUUCGAAAUUCAUUCCAAUUCCGAACUAACAUACUAAUCAAUGUCAACACAGUCUCGUAAAUCCAUCUAUAUAUCAUUAGGAAUCAAAUCCAAGUCCAUUUAUUAUGAUUUUCGCAUUUUCCAUCAAGCCAUUUUAUAAAGGAACUAUACUUUUCAAUAACCGAUUUUGAUAUCCAACAUCAUAAUUCAUCAAUUCCUAGCUAAAUAAUAUGAAUUACAACCAAAUCCAUCAUUAACAUGCCCUAUAGAAAAUUCGGCGAAAUGAGGGUGGUUAAAGAACAUGUGAUUUUCUUGCUUGUUUUUCCUUCCAAACAUCACAAAAUGACUAAAAACACUAGGAUAUUAUGAAAUCUAGCAAAAUUCAUCACCAAAACUUCUCUCUCUAGGUUUGGCCAGCAAAGGUUCCCUCUUGAAAACUUGAAUUUCAACCAUGGAGAAUGAAAAAGAAUACAUGGGAAAAAUAGAUCACAAGCUAAAAAAAAUCUUACCUUUACUUGCUUGAUUCCUUGAAAUCGAACAAUUUCUCUUGAAUUUUCCUUCCUAGGGUUUGCUCUUCUCUUUUUCUCUUUGUUCCCUUGCUUGGCUGGCCAUAAGAGUGUGAAUGUGAGGGUUUUAAGUGAGUUUAUAUAGGCAAUUAAAAUAAUAUUAAAGCUUGACAUUUGUCACCUUUUAAUUGGUCCAUGUUUAAAAACUUAAUAAUUAAGUAAUCUUUCACCACCACAUGUAAUCCCAUAAUUAUCCAAAGUAUAAAGUGAUAAUAGGUGAAAUUCACGGGUUUGACAAGUGUCAUGGUGGUGUAAAAUUUCAAUUACGUCCUCAUGGAUGCGUGAAAUGAUCGUUUUGCCCUUAUACUAGAAAAAUGUCGGAAUUGAAAUUUUUCACUCCACAAUUUCAAAUUAUGCUCCAAAUAGUCAAACUUGGUCAAAAUCUCAUCCAACAUUCCAAUUUUGCCCUUGGAUGGCAAAAUGACCAUUUUGCCCCUACAUUAUAAAAAUUUUCGUCUAAACUUCAAAUCAAUCCUCGAACUCCAAAUCACCAUAUUAAGACAUUUUAAGGUUCAAUAUCUCUCAAAUGUAUCUUAAAAUCUCUAUUUGGACUAGUUCGAGGCUUUAAUCAACUUAAUUAGACCACUAGGUAUAAUACCGACUUUUAACGAUUUUUCAAUACAUUCACUUAUGCAACAUUCUAUCAAGCACAUGAAUGACAUGACAAGUAUAUAAUAGAGUAGGGCUUGACAGAGAUUGCAUGGAGUUUCAAUCUCUAUCGUGUUAAAUCGAAACCCCUGGUUCACUUCUCGAUUCUGGCUGAAAUUCCAAGACGUUCUCGAAACUAAUUUGAGAUUUAACACUGCCUUUCAUCCACAGACAGAUGGUUAGUCUGAAAGAACCAUUCAAACUUUGGAAGAUAUGCUACGAGCUUGUGUCAUUGACUUUAUUGAGAGUUAGAAUAGACACUUGUCGUUGGUGGAGUUCACGUAUAACAACAGUUUUCAAUUUAGUAUUGGGAUGGCACCAUACGAGGCUCUGUAUGGGAGAACGUGCUGAACUCCACUCUGCUGGGAUGAAGUGGGUGAAAGGAAAUUGUUUAAUGUAGAGUUGAUUGAUUUAACUAAUGACAAGAUCAAGGUUAUUCGACAACGAUUAAAGAUAACUCAAGACAAGUAAAAAAGUUACUCUGAUAGACAGAGAAAAGACCUAAAAUUUGAAGUUGAUGAUAGAGUUUUUCUUAAGGUUUCUCCUUGGAAAGGUAAUGAUUUGAAUACUUUGAGGUAUUAAGUCUUAUUUGAUUAUACUAUUAUAGUAAAUUGUGGUAUCUUGGAUAAUAAAAGGUGUGAUUCGAUUUGCAAAGCGAGAAAAACUCAAUCCGAGAUACAUUGGACCCUUUCGUGUCAUUGAAAGGAUUGGGCCAGUGACAUAUAGACUAGAAUUACCCUCGGAGUUGGAUCGGAUUCACAAUGUCUUCCAUGUCUCAAUGCUGAAGAAGUAUGUACUUAAUCCCUCCCAUAUUCUCGAGGCACCUUGGAUUGAGUUGCAAAAAGAUUUAAAGUUCAAGGUACAGCCUAUACAUAUUCUAGAUCGAAAGGAUCAAGUGUUGAGGAAUAAGAGCAUCCCGAUGGUUAAGGUGUUGUGGAAGAAUGCUCGGAUGGAAGAGAUGACAUGGGAAGUUGAGCACCAGAUGAGAAGCCAAUAUCCCCAUUUUUUCUCAUAAUCCGGUAAGUAAAAUUUUGAGGUCAAAAUUUUAUUUUAAGGGGGGUAGUGCUGUUAAGCCCAACUCUAUAAUAUACUUGUCAUGUCAUUCAUGUACUUGAUAGCAUGUCUGCAUACUUGGAUGCCUCAAAAAAUCGUUAAAAGUCCGUAUUGUACUUAGUGGUACAAUUAAGUCGAUUAAAGCCUCGAACUAGUCCAAAUAGAGAUUUUGGGAUGUAUUUGAGAGUUAUUGAACCUUAGAAUGUCUUAAAAUGGUGAUUUGGAGUUCGAGGAUUAAUUUAGAAUCCAAUCGAGAAUUUUCAUAACGUAUGGGCAAAAUGGUCAUUUUGACACCCGAGGGCAAAAUUGGAAUGUUGGAUGAGAUUUUUGAUCAAGUUUGACUAGUUGGAACAUAAUUUGAAUUUAAGGAGUGAAAAAUUUCAAUUUUGAGCAUAAGGGCAAAGUGGUCAUUUCACGUGUCCACGAGGACGUAAUUGGAAUUUUUAAAAUUUUACACCACCAUGACACUUGUCAAGCCCAUGAAUUUCACCUAUUAUCAUUUUAUACUUUGGAUAAUUAUGGGAUUAUAUGUGGUGGAAAGGAAAAGCCUUAUUAGUUAAGUUUUAAAUGUGAACCAAUUAUAUGUUGCCAUGUGUCAAGUUUUUAUUAUUUUAUAAUUUCCUUUAUAAACUCAACAUAAACUCUCCCAUUCACUCUCUCAUUGCCGUUCAAACCAAAGAACAAAGGGGGAAAGAAUAGAAAAACCCUAAGGAGGAAAAAUUCAAGAGAAAUUCAUUGGAUUUUCGAAAAAUGAAGCGAUCGGAGGUAAGAUUUCGCGAUUUAGCUUAAGAUCUACCUUACCCAUGCUUUCUUUUUCAUUUUCUAUGGUUGAAACUCAAGUUUUCAUGAUGGAAGCAUGCUGGCCGAAUCAAGGGGGGAAGGUUUUGAUGAUGGUUUUUGAUAGAUUUUAGACUAUCUAGAUGUUUUUAGUGUUUUAUGAUAUUCGGUAUGAAAAACAAGCAAGAAAAUAACAUGUUCUUCAUCAAACCCUAAUUGGCCGAAUUCUAUAGGGAAUAUUUUGAAGAUAAAUUUUGUCAUAUUUCAUGUUAUCUAGCUUGUAUUUGAUGAUUCGUGAUGUCGGAUAUCGAAAACGAUUAUCGAAAAGUAUAGUUUCUUUAGUAAACGACUUGAACGAUAAUGAGAAAAUUAUAGUAAAUGGACUUAGAAUUGAUUUCUAAUGAGGUAUACGGACUUAUUGGAGUAUCGAAAGUGCAAUGAAUCUAUUUGGAGUUUAAUUGGAUGUUUUGGCUAAUUAAAUAGUGUAUAGUGCGAGUUAGGUCGAAUACCAUUUCAAUCCAACAAUAAUUGAACCUACGUAGAACACCAUCUUUAAGUGAUUAUUCGAACACUUCUCAUUCAAUUUCAUACAUUCAUAAAGAGCCUGAAAUAGUUUUAGAACAGUUUGGCACAAAUAUAUUGAAUUACUUGUUAUGUAUUAUGUAUAGGUGGUGAGUCCUCUGGUAAAGGUAAGGAUAUCGUACCCGAGGACCAAGUGUCACAACCCGGUACUCCCCUCAAGCCUGUGACAACCGUCGUAGUGUCCCAAUCGACACUCAUUACCCAAAAUGUCAAUCGAAACCCCGCAAGGCUUUAAUAUCUGUUUCUCAUUUCCCCUGUGAGUAACCGUUGCCAAAUAUCAUGUUCUAAAAGAUUUUAAGUUAUUUCCAACUUAAAUCAAUAAAAAAAUGAUUUCUGUCUCACAAGGGCAUUUUGGUCAUUUCUCUUCAAAAAUCUGGAAACCAGCUAAAACUAUAGUAUACAAGUGGAAAACACAUAUUUCAUAAUCAAAAAUAAGUUUAGAUAUCUAUAAUAUUCAUUGAAAGUGAAAUUAUAACUAUCUGAAUAUAAUAAAAAUAUUCAAUAAAAUAUUCUAUUUUAUUAUAAAACAAUAUUUAUAGAGUUAUCGGUAAAUAAUUUUUGUAGCGUAAAAGCUAAAUAAAUUCAUACAUACUGUAAUACAGAUAACCAAAGUGUAAAAUUUAAUUUACAGUGACACGUGGGCUCACGAACGACCAAAAAUAUCAAAAGCGGUAAACCUACAGUUUUUGAGGAUGCAAGUUCAAUUGUAGCCCUCAACAAAGUGAGCUAUCUACCGACUAUUCUGAGCCUGAAAUGGGUGAAAAGAAAAGUGGUGAGAUUAUAUAAUCCUAAUGAGUAAACAAAUACCAUCUAAAAUAUCUAAAGCUGAGUAAAUGGAGACAGAUAAAAUAGAUUCGCAUAAAAAUUAUUCUUAGUAUUUCGAACUCAUUUUAAUAAGAUAAAAUAGAUUCAUUUCACCAAAAUAAACAACGAGGCUUAUGAUUUCCUGAAAAGUUUGGCUCAUGGCAAAAUCAUUCUCAUACUCAGUUAUCAGGGAUACCUUGGCCGAAGGCUAUCCCAAUCGAGUCCGCCAAGGCUAUUAAAAAGUUAUGUACACAUAAAUCAUGUUUUUAUUUUGAAAACAUACCCGUUCCUUGGCAUUGGUUGAGUUCACCCUCACGUGGUGGUUUGGCGUGAAGUGAACUCUAAAGUUUUAACCUCAAGAGUUAUCCAACCGCGCCUCUCAUACUGAGGUAUGAAUAUAAUAGGGUUAUCGUGCCCCUCUAAUAAGCUGGUCCACGGAACCCGUCAACUGCAGCGACCAAUUAUAACCCACCAAUUCAACAAAAUUCAACAGCAUGACAUGGCAAUUAUUUCAUUUUACAGCCUCUCAAGGCAAAUCAACAGUUCAUACUUUUUCAGCACAUUUACCAAAUCCAACCAUUCAUGCCAAUAUUAUCAUAAGCCAUUCAAUUCAAACCAUGAUUUAUAACACAGCAAUUAGUCUCCAAUUACUCUAUUUUCAAACCAUCAUUUCAUUGCAAGACAAUGUUAUAAAAUCAUUUCAUUAAAUCACAUUUUAAUUACAAAAUGCAUAGAUUUACCAUUUAACUUAUUUUUCAUAAAAUCACAAAAUUGGAUAAAAACCACUUUAGAUAAUUAAGAUGAUAGUAAGGUUAUUCACUAUUUCGGGAGUCGAAUUUCGAGUACUCCGAUCUUGAUCCUCGGGUACUAUCUCUUUACUUUUGCCAGAAAGCUCACCACCUAGACAUAAUGCACAAUAAGCCAUUUACUACAUUUGUGCUAAACCGUUGUAAAACCAAUUUAGGCUUUAUACUAAUGCAUGAAAUGGGAUGUGAAAUACUCAGGUAACUAUCUAAAUACGGUGUUCAAUAUAAAUUCAAUUAUGUACCUAAAUAAAACGGUAUUGGCCUAAUUCGAUCUAUCACCCGAUUAAAUUGGCCAAUACGUCCAAUUCAACUCCAAAUAAUUCCAUUUUUCUCCCAAUACUCCAAAUCAUCAAACACAAAUUAAAUAACUUGAAAUAUGGCAAAAUCAUCCUCACAUUUUCUCUUGAAAAAUUCGGCCAUGGUGGAUGCAUCAACACUAUAAUUUUUCAAGCUUGAUUCUCUCACCAUAAAUCACUAAUUCCUAACCAAAUCACUUGAAAUAAAAUCAAAAUCAUCAUCAAUAUUCUACAUGGAGAAUUCGAUCAAUGAUGAGUGAUGGAAGAACAUGAAUUUUUCUUGCUUGAUUUUCAUGCUACACAUCACUAACUAACUAAAAACACUAAAAUAUCUUAAAAUAUAACCAAAUCAAGCAUCAAAAACUUCUCCCCCCAUGUCCAGCCAGCAAGGGUAUCCUCAUGCAAACUUGAUUCUCAACCAUGGAAAAUGAAAAAGAAUGCAUAGGAAAGGUAGAUCACAAGCUAGAAUUGAAAAAUCUUACCUUUUGUCACUUGAUUCUUUGAAUUUUCACACUUUUCCCUUGAAUUUUUCCACCUAGGGUUUUGUUCUUUCUUUUCUUCCUUUGUUCUUGCUUUGGCCAGCCAUAAGAAUGAGAAAUGGGCUGAUUUUGUGCUGAUUUAUAAGGAAAAUAAUAAAUGGAUGAAAAUUUGACACAUGUCACCAUUCCAUUGGUCCAUGUGUCAUACUUACCCAUUAAGAAAUCUCUCUCCACCACUUAAAUUUCCUCAAUUAUCCAUCAUAAUAUUGGGUAAAAUUCAUGUGCUGGACAAGUGUUGGGCGGUGUAAAAUUACAAUUUUGCCCUUGAGGUGGCAAAAUGACUAUUUUGCCCUUAUGCUCGAAAAAAUACCGAAAUUAAAAUUUUUCACUUCUCAAACUCAAAUUAUGUUCUAAAUAGUCAAUCUUGAUCAAAAAAUUCUUCCAACAUUCCAAUUUUAACCUCGGGUGGCAAAAUGACCAUUUUACCCCUAGGUCAUGAAAAUUCUAAUUUGACUCCAAAUCGGUCCUUGAACUCCGAAUCACCAUUUUAAGUCAUUCUGGGGUUUUAAAAUUCUCAAUUUCAUAUUAAAAUCUCUAUUUGGACUAGUUCGAGGCUUAAUUCAACUUAAUUGUACCAUUUUGUACAUUAUCGUCCUUUAACGAUUUUCGAAGUACCCAAGUAAGCAAACAUGCAUUCUUAUGUAGGAAUGGCAUAAUAAACAUAUUGUAGAGCUGGGCUUUACACCAGGAGUAGGAGUACUCCCGUUAUAGUGAGUAAUAGACUUUCAUCUUAACUAUCUAAAGUUGUUUUUACUCGUUUUUAUGUUUUAAAGAAUAAUGAGUUUAAAUUGUAAAUUAUUAUGUUUUAAAAUUGAAGUGUUGGUUAAACGAAAUGAGAUUUAUAACUUGCUUUGAAAUCGAAUACUGGUUUUGAAAAUUGCGUAAGUGGAGACUAUAUACUUGUGUUAUAUAUAUGUUUUGACAUAUGGUUUGAAUUGAUGGCUUAUGACAAUGUGAUGGCAUGAAUGGCUGGAUUUGUGUUUGUGUGGAAUAUAUGAAUUGUUUUGUUUUACCUUGACAAGCUGGGUAAUAUCAUAUUAUCCAUGUCAUGCUGUUGAAAUUUUUUUUGAUUUGGUGGGGUAAGUGAUUAGCUUACUGCAAUGGGCGAGUUUUCGUGGACCAGCCUAUUAGAGGGGUACGGUAAACCCUGUUAUAUUUUACCUAAGUAUGAGAGGCGCGAAGGGUUUCUCCUAAGGUAGUUUAGAGUUCACUUCACGUCGAACCACCACGUGAGGGUGAAACUCAGCCAACGCCAAGGAACGACUACGUUUUUAAACGUAAAAACAUAUUUUAUGUGUAUAUGUUAAUUUAACAGCCUUAGCGGACUCGAUUGGUUGCCCGGCUCAAGGUGUCACCGAGGAAGAGUUUUGGCACAAGCCAAGUUUUAAGAGAGUCAUAAGCCUUACUGAUUUUUUUUAUGAAAUGUAAUUGUUUUAUAUGGUUGAAAUGAGUUUUAAUGUUAUGAAUCAUAUUAUGAAGAGAUGUUUUAAUUCUCUCCAUUUACUUGGCUUUAGAUGUUAUAGAUGAACUUUGCUUACUCACUGGGUUUAUAAAAACUCACCCCCUUCUUUUCACCCAUUUCAGGUUCAGAGCAGUCUGUAGACAGUCGAUUUUGUCGAGGGUUUGCUUUUGGAUUUGCACCCUUAGAAAUCGUAGGUCUACAGUCCUGUUUAUUUUUGUUAUUUUGGGGCUCACAUGUCAUUGUAGAAUAUUUUUGUAUACCUUGGCG
Molecule: long non-coding RNA, 14565 nt
Filed under: Theobroma cacao (cacao)
Lineage: Eukaryota; Viridiplantae; Streptophyta; Magnoliopsida; Malvales; Malvaceae
Description: long non-coding RNA (TCAC_LNC005332)
Source: RNAcentral